UACACUCCUGCGGAAGGCAGCAGUGGGGAAUAUUGGACAAUGGGCGCAAGCCUGAUCCAGCCAUGCCGCGUGAGUGAUGAAGGCCCUAGGGUUGUAAAGCUCUUUCACCGGUGAAGAUAAUGACGGUAACCGGAGAAGAAGCCCCGGCUAACUUCGUGCCAGCAGCCGCGGUAAUACGAAGGGGGCUAGCGUUGUUCGGAUUUACUGGGCGUAAAGCGCACGUAGGCGGACUAUUAAGUCAGGGGUGAAAUCCCGGGGCUCAACCCCGGAACUGCCUUUGAUACUGGUAGUCUUGAGUUCGAGAGAGGUGAGUGGAAUUCCGAGUGUAGAGGUGAAAUUCGUAGAUAUUCGGAGGAACACCAGUGGCGAAGGCGGCUCACUGGCUCGAUACUGACGCUGAGGUGCGAAAGCGUGGGGAGCAAACAGGAUUAGAAACCCGGGUAGUCCC
Molecule: ribosomal RNA, 448 nt
Filed under: uncultured organism
Description: partial 16S ribosomal RNA
Rfam family: Bacterial small subunit ribosomal RNA
Source: RNAcentral